CCAGUGCUGGCUCAGUGGAUAAGGCUUUGGAUUAAUGAUCAGAAAGUUGAGUUCAAAUCUCAGCACUGCA
Pangasius djambal is the source of this 70-nucleotide non-coding RNA. Lineage: Eukaryota; Metazoa; Chordata; Actinopteri; Siluriformes; Pangasiidae. The record is from the annotation of a GenBank genome assembly.